AAACUGCGGAAAACGAUUUUUGCAGACGGACUGCACUGAAGAUGACCUGAAUAUCAAGGAGAUUUUAAGUGCAGUAAAAGCAGCCUUUGCAGCUCAGAACUUCUCCCCUUCAGAAUGGAACCUCAGGAGCCUUACAUCCCAACCCUCCUGUCCUGCCUUGGAAAUGUUUCUGGUGCUGUUUCUUAAAAAGACCUGACAUGCAGAUGUUCCAGUGAUGAAGAAGCAAAGUUCAAAUCUUUUUGCUCAAGUUGCUUCUCUUGACUCCUCGAUUCUUGUUUCCUGAGUCGUUUCCAGGUCUUCUACUCAACCUGAAAGUAGCAGCACGCUGCACAGAGCACCUGGAGAACUCAUCAGCCAAAUAUUCUUCCAUCUCUGUGGCCUGAAGUGGUGGAGCCAUGUCCAAUGUAGACUUACUAAAG
This is a long non-coding RNA of Pogoniulus pusillus (Red-fronted tinkerbird), 419 nucleotides long. RefSeq lists it as uncharacterized. Lineage: Eukaryota; Metazoa; Chordata; Aves; Piciformes; Lybiidae. The record is from RefSeq and is a predicted model, not a curated record. The transcript has 3 exons.